Molecule: small RNA, 126 nt
Filed under: Mangrovibacter sp. MFB070
Lineage: Bacteria; Pseudomonadati; Pseudomonadota; Gammaproteobacteria; Enterobacterales; Enterobacteriaceae
Description: RtT RNA
Rfam family: RtT RNA
About the family: This family represents a bacterial cis-regulatory element known as RtT RNA.
Source: RNAcentral
GCUAUGUGUAAAAAGUGCAGAAUGAGAACCUGCACAGGUUCGAGCCGAGCGAAGCGAGACAACGUUGCCUCUGGCAACGGCCCGCAGGGUGAGGCCAACGGCCGAAUCAUCCUGCACGACCCACCC